Molecule: long non-coding RNA, 4488 nt
Filed under: Homo sapiens (human)
Lineage: Eukaryota; Metazoa; Chordata; Mammalia; Primates; Hominidae
Description: HSALNT0279446
Source: RNAcentral
GUAAGCCCCAGACACAGGCCCUGUUGUUUGUUGGUGAUCAUUUAAGGCUCACCUUUCCCCUGCUCCUCACACCGGGGACAUGUCCUCCCAGUCCCCCAGGGCUGCUCUGUGCAGCUCAGGGAUACAUUAGUGAAAAGGCAGCAACUCUUUCCUGAGGGGGUUUAUGCUCCUUACAUCAUGCACAUUUUAUCAAAUUUGCACCUUCCUUGUGUGCUCCUCAGAGCAUCAUUGUAUGGAUGAACAAAUGGGGGUCCACAGGGAGCUGAACAUCCCUCCUUGAAGUUCCUCCUCCAGCCUCUGGGCCACAGGCACUGGGUUUUCCUUCCUGACCACCACCCGUUGUCAGCGUCCUUCCAGACUCCUUCUCCUUCAAUGACAAAUCAAGAUGUUGUGACGCGACCAUUUUAACGCUUUCUUCCCUCUAUGGUGCACGAAUGGCAUAGACAUUACAAAGCACAAAAUUGAUUGGACUUAGAAGGGAGAGUUGGAAUCGCAACAGCUUCCACAGUCCUGACCACAGCAAUUCUAAAAAGUCAGAGAACAUUUUCUGACAACUUUCUGAGAGAUUAGAAAACAAAUGCAAACUAUCAGUAUUUAUUGUACUCAUAUUUCACAGAAAUCACAAACACAAAAUAAAUAUGCCAAUGGUUAAAACUGCAAACAGACACAUUUAAUAAAGAUGAAAAUUAAGAGUUCUACCUUCACCAUGGUGAAGUCCUAACGCCACCAUUUCCCGAAUCUUCAUUUUUAUGCAGCCAGGUCUCUGAUCACUACCUCCUACUUUUCUUGGUCUCUUGCUGCAUUACUACAAUACCCACUUUUUUUUUUUUUUGAGACAGGGUCUUGCUCUGUCACCCAGGCAGGAAUGUAGUGGUGCAAUCUCAGCUCACUGUAACCUCUGCCUCCUAGGUUCAAGCAAUUCUCCCACUUCAUUCCUCAGAGUAGUUGGACUAUAGAUGUGUGCCACCACACCUGGCUAAUGUUUUUAUUUUUUGUAGAGACAGGGUUUCAUCAUGUUGCUCAGCCUGGUCUCAAACUCCUGAGCUCAAGCAAUCCACUCACCUCAGCCUCCCAAAGUGCUGGGAUUACAGGCGUGAGCCACUGUGUCAAGCCUUUUUUUUUUUUUUUAACUCCAUAAGAAAUGUGCUUCAAUUACUAUUACUGUGUAACAAAUUAUCCUCAAAUUUAGUGGAUUAAAACAAUUAAGUUGUUAUUUACAAUUGUUUGUUUUGAGGGUGGAAAUUCAGGAAGGACUCCAAUGGGAAGUUCUUGCCUGGGUCUCUUUUGAGGUUUGGUUGCAGUUGGAGGUAAGCCUGGCUCGAGGUCUGAGAUGGUUCAUUCAGAAGGUUGGCAGUGGAUGCUGAGUGUGAGCUGGGGGCUCUGCUGCGGCUGUCACCAGCAUAUCCACUGGGCUCUCCUGCAUCGUGGUCUCAGGGUAGUUUCUUUUCUUUUCUUUUUUUUUUUGGAGACAAGAGUCUCGCUCUGUCACCCAGGUUGGAGUGCAGUGGUGUGAUCUUGGCUCACUGCAACCUCCACCUCCUGGGUUCAAGUGAUUCUCCUACCUCAGCCUCCCGAGUAGCUGGGAUUAUAGGUGCCUGCCAGCACGCCCAGCUCAUUUUUUUUUUGUAUUUUUAGUAGAGGCGGGUCUUCGCCAUGUUGGCCAGGCUGGUCUGGAACUCCUGACCUCAGGUGAUCCGCCCACCUCGGCCUCCCAAAAUGCUAGGACUACAGGCGUGAGCCACCGCACCCAGCCAAGGGUAGAGUUUCUACAUGAUGGCUGGUUCCCAUCAGAGUAAGGAUCCUUGGAGGGCAUGCCCUUUUCUGGUCUAACCUUGUAAGUCCUACAGCAUCACUGCUGCUGUGACUAUUGGCCAAAGCAGUUGCAAGCCUACCCAGCUUCAAGAGGGGGGUCACAGACCCUACCCCUCCAUGGGAAGAGUGUCAAAGAACUUAGGAGCUGUGUCAUAAAACCACUGCAAAUCUGCAGUCCAUGUGUCAUGAAACCACCACAAACCUCCAGUCCAUGUGUCAUAAAACCACUGCAAAUCUCCAGUCCACGUGUCAUGAAACCACCACAAACCUCCAGUCCACUGAACCUCGCUCUUUCCUCAAUGUCCACUCAAGUUUCUUACCUGACAUUAACCCUCUCAAUCGUCAACUUGUCCUUCUCUUCUGGAUCAUUUCCAUCAGCAAACAAGCAUAACCUAUGUUAAAGAAAAUGGUAAUUCUCACCUGAUGGUACAGGACAUCCAAAAUCAUGGCAUUUACAACAUUGUUAUGCCUUAAUGAAAGUGACAGUAGGCCUCUUACACCCACAAACUUGUCAUCUUGGAACUCCCAGCAUAAUUACCUAAUUUGAUUAACAAAAACUGUCUUUUUUUUUUUUUUUUUUUUUUUUGAGAUAGGGUCUCACUCUGUCACCCAGGCUGAAGUGCAGGGAUGUGAUCUUGGCUCACUGCAACCUCCGCCUCCUAAGCUCAAGCAAACCUCUCACCUCAGUCUCCCAAGUAGCUAGGACUACAGGCACCCGCCACCAUGCCUGGCUAAUUUUUGGUUUUUUUUUUUUUUUUUUUUUUUUUUGUAGAGACAAGGUUUCACCAUGUUUUCCAGGCUGGUCUCCAACUCCUGGGCUCAAGUGAUCCACCCGCUUCGGCCUCCCAAUGUGCUGGGAUUACAGGCGUGAGCCACCAUGUGCAGCCUCAAAAGCUGUCUUCAUCCUCUGGAUCUAAUAGCUAAGUUCUAAGUACAAUCUUGCUACACGGGCCGCAGGAUAAGAGACCGGGCAGCUGGCAGGAUGGCACUUCUUCCCUCCCCUGCCUCACUUUCUCACCCACCCACCUUAUUUCCUGCAGCUUCAAACAAACUCCUUGCAUGUGAAUCCUCGUUUUAGCUACUUCUUCUGAAGGAAUCCAAUCUAAGGCAUCCUGCUAAUUGUGACACUCACACUUAAAUUAUCAAAUCGUAAAGUUAAUCAAUAGUUUUACCCUUUUCCUGAACAAUACAAGGACCCGAGAAGUAUUUAACUCUGUUUACUCCAGUCCCAACUUAAAUUUUAUUAUUAUGCAUUUUAAUAUUCUUUAUUUUUCCUUUUUUUUUUUUCUGGUUUUUUAGACAGAGUCUCACUGUCACGCAGGCUGGAGUGCAGUGGCAUGAUCUUGGCUCACUGCAGCCUCGACCUCCCGGGCUCAAGCAAUCCUCCUGCCUCAGCCUCCCAAAGCACUGGGAUUAUAGGUGUGAGCCACUGUGCCUGGCUAUUAUUUUUCUUUUCAAGACCCAUAGGAAUUGUUAUUGUUGCUUUAAGCCAUUGAUGUUUACUAGAUUUACCCAAAUGUUACCUCUUUCUAUAUCCUUCAUUCCUUCUUCCUUGUCAGAUCACCCUGUGAUACCAAUUCCUUACACCUUUUAAAUGUUUCUUUAAUGAGAAUCUUCCGUAGUAAACUCAGUUUGUCCGAAAAUGUCUUCAUUUUGUCCUGGUUCCUGAAAGAUAUUUUUACAGGAUACAGAAUUCUGGGUCAUUAGUUUCCAUUAUCACCUCGAAGGUCUCGUCCAUUGUCCUCCUCUGGCUUUCCUUGUCGCUAGAAAACAUCAUCUCUCAGUCACUCCCUUGAAGGUCAUUUUCCAUGCAUCUCCAGCUGCAUUUAGGACGCUUUUGUCUUUGGUGUUCUGAAGUUUCAAUGUGGUCUAUCUAGGUGUGGGUUUAUUUUGUAUUUUUUUCUGCAUGAGGUUCUCAAUUAUAUAAAUUUAUAUGAAUUUCUCAAUUAUGUGACUUUCAUUAGUUUAGAAAUUUCAUAGCCAUUAUCUCUUCAAAUAUUUCCUCUGCUCCAUUCCAUCUCUUCUCCUUCUGGCACUCUAAUUAGGCUCAUGUUGGAUUUUCCUAUUCUAGCCUUUAUGUCUCUUAACCCUUUUUCCAGGUUUUCCAAAUCUAUGUCUUUCCAGGCAGCAUUCUGUAUACUGUAUUCAUAUUUAUCUUUUAGCUCAUGAAGUCUCGCUUUGGUUAUUUAUAAUCUUCUGUUAAACAUGCAUACUAAGUUUUUAAUUUAGUUGAAAUUAAAAUUCAACUAAAAUUUGAACUAAAUUAAAACUUUCCUUUUAGAACUUCCAUUUGGUUCUUUUCAAACUGCUUGACUAUUCUUUAUAGUUUUGUGGGUUUUGCACACAUUUUCUUUCUUUUUCUUUUCUUUAGAGACAGGGUCUCACUGUGUUGCACAGGCUGGAGUGCAGCGGCAUGAUCACGGCUCACUGUAGCCUCAACCUCCCAUGCUCACGUGAUUCUCUCACCUCCCAAGCACCUGGGACUACAGGUGCAUACCACCGUUUCUGGCUAAUUUUUUAUUUUUUUGUAGAGACAGGGUCUCACUAUUUGCCUAGGCUGGUCUUGAAUGCCUGGGCUCAAGAAUUCUUCAGCCUUGGCUUCCCAAAGUGCUGGGAUUAUAGGCAUGAGCCACCAUGCCCAGCCUUAAGACAUAUGCAGAUGUAAAACAUAACAAC